UUGGUACAACAUUAUACAUAUAUAAUGUCAUAUUAUGAGUGUUUCUUUAAUGUAUAUAUUAUAUAAAUGCUUGCAAAUAGUGCGCUUUUCUUGUGGCUAUGUCCUAUAUGUCAUGCUUUCCGCCAUAAUCGUGAUACCAAGAAGUUGGACGCAAACGUGUCGCUGGAAAAUCGUCAAUGGGCGGAUCGCCGGUGCACUUUCGUCGUCCGCGGACGGAUGCGAUUGGCCCCCGCGGGCAACGCGACGCUUCCACGACGUUUCCGCCGCCGACGAGAUCAGUCGCAACGCGUUCGGCGUUACGUCCGGUCGAUCGUUUUCAGUGUGAGUGCGUGUGCGAGAGUAUAGACGAUGACGGUUGAAGAUUAUCGUUUCCGCGUUAUCAUGGCCGCAGACGAGAUUGAUCCGCCAUUAGUUGUUUAGUAGUAUUUUAUAGUUUUCUAAAAAGCAGAAGGGUUUGAUUUCGUAACACGGAUGGAAAAUACCCACCGUCUAUACUGCCGCCACACCGCCAGCUCGUAUAAUAGCUACCGAAGAAUGACGUAGUUUUCGUGGAGAAGAUUGAUUGACUGUCGAUCGAGCACAAACUUAUAUAGUGCAUACAGGUAUAUACUGGAUAAUAUAUAAUAAUAUAUGGACUACAGUACUGCAUCAUCGCAUUGACGAGUGCCAAUAUAAUAUUAUGAUAUGAGGUGUCAAAGUACAGGCACCGCCGCGACCGGUCUACGACUUUAUCAACCACCACCAUGGGUGACUACGACGCGACACCGUCGACUCUCCUCUCCACGCCGCAAAGGCUAGGUGGCACGGGAAGACAAAUCGCGCUGGACAAGUACCGGACGGGGUCGCUCUCUUACGCCGAUCGUCGAACGGCCUACACCAGCACGAAAACGGACACCGGUCGUUACCCGAACCAUCAUCCAGCCAGGACACCGUCGUUUCUUUUCGUGUCUUACAUCAUUUUUUGCAUAACAAAUACAGACAUAUCGGUCAUACGGACCACAACCAGUGUACUAUCUUUCUUUUUACGUCGAGUGCCACCCAAACCGUCCGUGACUCUCGAGAUCGCCGACCGGCUCACCGCGAUCACCAUCACCGCCGUAGCCGCGUCAGAGGGUGUAACAGAAAGAACUGACUACCCAAUGCAAUAACUUUUUUACAAUCAAUAUUUUGAAUUUUUUUUUCAUAUAUAAUUUAUAGUCACUUGCGGUGCAUUAUGUAUAAUAUAAAAAAAAUAUUUUUAUUUUUUUAAUACUAAAUAAUAUAAAAGCAUUUAAAUUAAACUAAAUUUUUUUUUGGAUGAGUUCAAAAUAGCCAGUUUUGUGAAUCUGAUCAUAAGAACAAUUUUGAUGGGGAAACAUUUUUGAAAUUUGCUGACACGAGUACCUGCAUUGUUGUGUGCGGGAUUUCUAAAGGUUCCAAAAGCCACACGUCUUGGUGACAAAAUGACACAAUAGUCCCAAGUGAACUAAAGAAUAAUGUUUAUUCAGCAGAAAAUAUGAUAAUUGAGGAUUCUGACAGUAAUAUGAGUAAAGUGGUCGAACAAAAGGAAAAAUUAAAAAGCUGAGAUAAAACUAGCCAAGCCCGAGUUACCAAUCAGUAGCGUCGUCAAUGAUUCUAGAGUGUAAGAUAAUGAUAAAACAGAUGUAAAUUAUAAAACCAAAUUAAAAUAUUUCGUUCAAGUGCCUAAACCAACUAGACGUAUCAUUGAAGUAUCUUCCCCUGCAGUUGUUGGAACUACUCCAACUGCAGUGGCACCGUUUCCACCAAUGUAGAAUUUGUGUACAUAGUUCAUAUUAUUAAGAUCAAAAAUGUAUGUUUAAAAAUGUAUGUUAAAUCCUGAUCACUUUAUUUUACAAUAUAUUGAAUUAUUUAUUCAAGGCGAUAUAGUGCUAUACUGUACAGUUUUAUUAUUAUUCUUUUUAGCUAUUGUAUAAUUUAUUUUUAAUUUUAAAUAAUUUUUUUUGAUGAACACGUGAUUUCAAAUUAAAAAAAGUCUGUGGCCUUAUUAUUUUUAAAUUUAUUUUAGACCUUUUUCGAGACAAGACAGUCAACUUCAUGAACACAUCAUACCUAUACGAUUUUAAGUAGAAGAUAAACCCAAAACCAAAGCCAGUUUCAUCUGUCUCUAAGUCCCAACUCCCAGGACCAAUUUAUUGCACUAAUUCGAAGUUCGGUGGACGAAGUGAGAAAUAAUAUGUUAUAUAAUAUAUACCCGUAAUUCUUGAAAACAAUAUGCGUUGUCCUACAAUCAAUCACUUCCCAUCUCUGCGACCACACUGAAAUAAACACCGACGGCUCCAAAACGGAUAACGGAGUUGGUGCUUCAGUAGUAUUUAAAGACCACGUAUCAAUGCUCAGACUCCCCAAUUUCUGCUCAAUAUAUUCAGCGGAGGUAACGGCAAUUUAUUACGCCCUAGACCUCAUCAAAACAAGACGCAUACUCAAAGCAGCUAUACUAAGCUACUCGCUAAGUUCUCUAAGGAGCAUCGAAAACCCCUCCACGCCGAAUGAAUUCAUUUCUUCCGCUGGUGAUACAAUAUUGAAAGAACAAGAAGAUCUUUAGAGUCAAUCCGAGGUUUGGCAUCUAAUUCAUAUUUCAUUAUCUCACCAUGUCGAGUAGAUAACUGUAUGUACGAUGACUUGUUGAGUAUUUCUAAUGUUGCUUAUUUCCCUGAAUUCAUAACAAGUUCAGUUAUUAUGGUGCAGCACGUCCAACUACAAAUAUCUGAUGUGGGUUAAUAACAUAUGAAUAUGACUUCAAAUUUGUUAACGAAUUGGUUAGUUAAACCUACCAUAAAAUCGACCACUACCACUUCGAAUUCCGAAUUGACUUGUAAAAAUGAAACCACUUUAACAUGCCACCUUUAACAUUAUGGGAUCCAAGACCUGCAACUUUGUUAUGGAUAAACUCAUCAAACCGAUAGUUAAAAGAAACUUCCAAAGCACGAGAACAAGAUUGGUUUAAAGGCAUUUUUGAUCAAUCGUUGAAUCCUCGGGUCUUACAAAACGAUGUCCUAGAAUUUUCAUUAUUUAGAUAUUUGAAUUGUAUUGUACUAUUGUAA
Molecule: long non-coding RNA, 3062 nt
Organism: Myzus persicae (green peach aphid)
Lineage: Eukaryota; Metazoa; Arthropoda; Insecta; Hemiptera; Aphididae
Exons: 9
Source: RefSeq, a predicted model, not a curated record